This 463-nucleotide ribosomal RNA is filed under the name uncultured bacterium. RNAcentral's name for it is "partial 16S ribosomal RNA". It matches the Rfam family "Bacterial small subunit ribosomal RNA", at positions 28 to 507 of the family's 1533-position model. The record is from RNAcentral.
GAUGAACGCUGACAGAAUGCUUAACACAUGCAAGUCUUUGGCGAAUCUGUGCUUGCACCGGCUAGCCAAGGCGGACGGGUGAGUAACGCGUAAAGAACUUGCCCUGCAGACAGGGAUAACAGACGGAAACGACUGAUAACACCUGAUACAGUUGCCGGCACGCAUGUGCCUGGCAAUGAAAAGAGAUGCUGCAGGAGAGCUUUGCGUCCUAUUAGCUUGUUGGUGAGGUGACGGCUCACCAAGGCGAUGAUAGGUAGCCGGCCUGAGAGGGUGAACGGCCACAAGGGGACUGAGAUACGGCCCUUACUCCUACGGGAGGCAGCAGUGGGGAAUAUUGGACAAUGGGGGCAACCCUGAUCCAGCAAUUCUGUGUGCACGAAGAAGGUUUUCGGAGUGUAAAGUGCUUUCAGCAGGGAAGAAGAAAGUGACGGUACCUGCAGAAGAAGCGACGGCUAAAUACGUG